Strigops habroptila (Kakapo) is the source of this 1854-nucleotide long non-coding RNA. NCBI's taxonomy places the organism in Eukaryota, Metazoa, Chordata, Aves, Psittaciformes, Psittacidae. The record is from Ensembl.
UGCUGGGAAGAGCUAUUGAAACCACAGAAAUGUGAAUGGUGCUGCCACAUAGCUGUGAGCGAGUUCCUCUUGUGUCUAUCCUGUUGAAUUAGCUUUCACAAUGAGUAACUUAGGCACAGUGCUGCCAAGCCCACAUGCACAUGGAAAGGGAACUUUCACCUUGUUAUGAGCAGCUCAUUAUCCUGAAGGAACAGCAUCUUCCAAUGUAUUUGAGAUGGAACCUAUAAAAUGGCAUGUUUGACUUCACCCAUUUAUAAAAAGUGGGGAAGAGAUUUCCUAUUCUUUUCACAUUCAAACCUUUGAAAUUACUGCUCGUCAGGUCUGACCUACAGUCAGUGGCACUACAUGCAUUUGGCUGUCCCUCUGGAAUGUUUGUGUUUAUCUUAGUCUCUUUCUAGCAAAUCAAUUCUGAGCACAGCAGAUACCAAACCUCACUCUGCCUCCCACCAAAUAUGGUCUUCAUGUAGGAGGACUUGAUGACUUUCAUCUGGAAGGCUGAAGUACAUGGGAAGUUAAAGCUGCAUUUGCACAGACUUCUGGGAACUGGUAUUUUCUGGCCACCUUAGGAACAGAGGGUGUAGUAUCAACUGGUUUCCUUCUAGUUUGUAGCAUAAGAGGACUAAGGCAUCUUGCAUCCUUUUGUUUCCUUUCAUGGAAGUCAAGACACAAUCAACCAUUGAUUACUUUCUGUAAUAGACACAUUUUCUAAUACAGAAAUAUUUUCUUGUCAAGACAGAGAAUUUUACUUUUUCACAAAUAUUGUUCUGAUCUUAUUGAUACAAACUCCUAAGUAACAUUAACUUUACACAUAGAAUCAACAGGGCAGGGACAGAAAGGAGGCUAAUUUUGUUUCUUCAGCUGCUGAUGUGCUGCUUUUGUGCUGCUGUUACCACUUAUCAAGAAUUAGUUGUCUUUUCAUUUCUUGGUGCCACUGUACAAUUUGGAAAGUCACCACUAAGAUGGUUACAUACCAAGACAUACUAGGGAAUGCCCAAAAAAUGUAGGGCAAGAAAUCAGCAUAUUUAACUUCUCUUGCUUGGAGCAGAGUUUUGAAAACAAGGUGGGAAACAGAUGAGAGGGCAGAUGAUCAGAGGCUGGGCUGCUAAGCAGAACUAGCAACAGAGGUGGCUAAAUCAUCCAUUAGUGAAGGAUACUUUUAAAUCUCACUGGAAAGUUUCCUGGAGAACUGUACUUCAUUAAAUUAAUAAAAAAACCUACACAAGUAAAUAACAGUCCUACACUUUUUAUGCCAUGUCAGGUAGAGUUUUACAUCACAUAGUCUUAAGGAGGAGUUCUUGUAAAUAAUUCUUUACAUAAUAAUCAAGUAGAAUUUGGAAAUCCACCACAAAACACCAAAUGCUGCUUUUACCUGAAUUUACUGUGAAUUUUGUUUUCAGCUAUAGUUUGGGCAUGAGAUGUAGCCUCCAAUUCUUUCAAAAAUAAUUAAACAAAUCCUUAAGGAAUCUGCAUUCAGAUGUGCACUUUCUUGUUUUUUGAGUUCUUUUAGAAAAAUCUGUUCCUCUAUACAGACCAGACAUUGGUUCAAGUUCUUGUCUUAAAUUUGGAGGACAACAUUUUCUGCAGUCUCUCUGUCUCUACAUGGUUAGUAGCCAAUAUUUUCUGAACUAGGAUGGCCUUUUCUAUUGGGAUUGAGCCAUAUAAAGUGGAUAAUCAUAGCAGAUGGAGACGGAAAACCACUAUUUGGUGAGCAAGGCCAUUCUCCUUUAAGGAUGGACUGCAGUCUCAGUGAUGGAUGUAUCAGAUUAAAUUGUCAUUACAAUUUGAUUUUGCCAGGCAUCUUCAAAAAUUAUUUACUUAUUUAUGUAAGGGAGAGCUUCAAGUGUAGAGAGGUGA